This 714-nucleotide ribosomal RNA is filed under the name Shewanella baltica. RNAcentral describes it as "bacterial SSU rRNA". It matches the Rfam family "Bacterial small subunit ribosomal RNA", at positions 53 to 754 of the family's 1533-position model. The record is from RNAcentral. Lineage: Bacteria; Pseudomonadati; Pseudomonadota; Gammaproteobacteria; Alteromonadales; Shewanellaceae.
ACAUGCAAGUCGAGCGGCAGCGGGAAGAUAGCUUGCUAUCUUUGCCGGCGAGCGGCGGACGGGUGAGUAAUGCCUAGGGAUCUGCCCAGUCGAGGGGGAUAACAGUUGGAAACGACUGCUAAUACCGCAUACGCCCUACGGGGGAAAGGAGGGGACCUUCGGGCCUUCCGCGAUUGGAUGAACCUAGGUGGGAUUAGCUAGUUGGUGAGGUAAUGGCUCACCAAGGCGACGAUCCCUAGCUGUUCUGAGAGGAUGAUCAGCCACACUGGGACUGAGACACGGCCCAGACUCCUACGGGAGGCAGCAGUGGGGAAUAUUGCACAAUGGGGGAAACCCUGAUGCAGCCAUGCCGCGUGUGUGAAGAAGGCCUUCGGGUUGUAAAGCACUUUCAGUAGGGAGGAAAGGUAGCAGCUUAAUACGCUGUUGCUGUGACGUUACCUACAGAAGAAGGACCGGCUAACUCCGUGCCAGCAGCCGCGGUAAUACGGAGGGUCCGAGCGUUAAUCGGAAUUACUGGGCGUAAAGCGUGCGCAGGCGGUUUGUUAAGCGAGAUGUGAAAGCCCCGGGCUCAACCUGGGAAUUGCAUUUCGAACUGGCGAACUAGAGUCUUGUAGAGGGGGGUAGAAUUCCAGGUGUAGCGGUGAAAUGCGUAGAGAUCUGGAGGAAUACCGGUGGCGAAGGCGGCCCCCUGGACAAAGACUGACGCUCAGGCAC